GGGCUGCCGCGCUGCCCGAUCCGCGGCCCGCACAGUCCCCUCGCUGUGGCGCGUCCCCGAGCCCGCACUGGGUGUUUCCGGAGGUGUGAGACUCCCGCCAGCCCGGGCGCGCCGCCGGCUUCACAGGAGCCUCCGGGCAGCGCAGCCCGCCCGCCUUUCCGUCAGGCUUUCGCGCCCGGCGCCCCCGCAGUGAUGGCGUGAAGAGGGUGGGCGUUCCGGUCCGGGAGGCCCCCGCCGCGGCUCCGGAAGCGCCUCUUCCUGGGCGGCCGUGGUGGUGGUCGCCGUGAUGUCUGCGGGGCUGGGUGGCUGACCCCCGUGGGUGCAGCAGGCCCGGGUCCCGAAUCUCGGCGGCCGCUGCUCGAGCGCGGCCUGCGCCAUGGCCACCUCCGCCGCCUCCUCGGAGCAUUUCGAGAAGCUGCACGAGAUCUUCCGCGGCCUCCAUGAAGACCUCCGGGGGGUGCCGGAGCGGCUCCUGGGGACCGGGGGCACAGAAGAGAAGAAGAAAUUGAUCAGAGAUUUUGAUGAAAAGCAGCAAGAAGCAAAUGAAACGCUGGCAGAGAUGGAAGAGGAACUACGUUAUGCACCCCUGUCUUUUCGUAACCCUAUGAUGUCUAAGCUUCGAAACUACCGGAAGGACCUUGCCAAACUCCACAGGGAAGUGAGAAGCACGCCUUUGACAGCCACACCCGGGGGCCGAGGAGACAUGAAAUAUGGCACAUACACUGUAGAGAAUGAGCAUUUGAAUCAGCUACAGUCUCAGAGGGUAUUGCUUUUGCAAGGCACUGACAGCCUGAACCGGGCCACCCAGAGUAUUGAGCGUUCUCAUCGGAUUGCCACAGAAACUGACCAGAUUGGCUCGGAAAUUAUAGAAGAGCUGGGGGAGCAACGUGACCAGUUGGAACGCACCAAAAAUAGACUGGUAAACACAAAUGAAAACUUGAGCAAAAGUCGAAAGAUUCUCCGGUCAAUGUCCAGAAAAGUGACAACCAACAAGCUGCUACUUUCCAUUGUCAUCUUACUGGAGUUAGCCAUCCUGGGAGGCCUGGUUUAUUACAAAUUCUUUCGCAAGCAUUGAACUUCCUGCACGGAAGGGUUUGUGGACCAGAACUUUGACCCUGAGAAUGAAUAGUGUUACAGAUGUGGAAUAAGUAUUGCUGCUGUGAGCUAACGGUUCAAGGAUGCACUGUGUAGCCAGACUGUGGGAAGAGGGAGGGAAGAUGGAAAACCAGUUAAUGUGAAGAAACAGCAGCAAGACCAGUGUGAUAUACCAAGGUCUUGCCAUUGUUGACAACACAGUCGUGGGACAGGCAGAUUUUGAAUGGCAGCACCUACACUUGGAUGCUUCUACUUCCACAUCCUUGUUUAUCUUAGCACCUCCUUAAACCGCAUCAAGCAUUCAGAAGUACAUGGACAUUAAAGCGAUCAACCUGGUGGAUAAGUGACAGAACUUGGGAACAUUCAAGUCCAACCAUGGAAUCUAGGAUGCAGAAUCAGUGAAGUGUGACAGCAAACAGUACUUGACUAUUACUUACUUAUCAGAAGAACUUAGAAAGAACUGUGGAAAGCUUACAAAGGAGCCUAAAGAGAAUUUGGUGGUCUUAUAACAACACUCCAAGGAAGAGAGACUGAAUUUCCUAAAAGGAUUUUGGCCAUUAAGUGUGUAACUGUGGAGUUGAUCCCUAGAUUAACUCACAGGCUGGAUGGUCAGUUCUUCAUGAGUAUGCCACCCCAUGUUCUCUGACUGCUUGUUCAGGGAACAGCCCUCUGGUUAUUUACUUAGUUCCCCAGUUGCCCUCAUAUAAGCAAGAGGGCUUCCUGACAGUGGAUCCCGAAAGGCUGCUGCUCACCACAAUUACGCAUACGCAUUUGGGGUUAUACAUCAUGGUUAGCUUGAGUCUCCGGGUCUGAGAGCCUGCUAAGCUCUGCAAGAGUUCUGUUCAUGGAUGGUCAGACCCCCCGAAGGGAUUAAUGUCUUGAGAGGCCCUACCUGAGUGGCCUACCCUAUGGGACUCCCAACUCUGCUCUUUCAUUUCCACAAUCAGUUCCAGAAGGCACUGGAGGACAGAAUGAACCUGAAACAGCAAGGAAGCUCGUAUGACAAACAGAUUUGGAACCAACUUGAAUGGGCUCUGCUGUUUGACAUGCAGUGACAAGCAAAGCACAGACUGACAGCCUCAGUGCUCCUCUCCCAGUGCUGGUAAUAAAACAUACACCGAAUACUAUUAAGAUCUUUUAGGCCCAGGUGUCACCUUUGGCCCUGAUAAACAUCUCCAGGCUCCACUGGAGUGAAACGAGAACACAAGUGCAUCAACAGAAUGAUGCAACCAUCUGCUAGGGAAGAAAUCAAAACAGCCCUACCUGACCUUAGCAGUGUCUGCAGACAGCACUUCUAUUUAGGGUCCUGAUCACUAGGGAAUCCCUGCAAGAAGCCAGGGACAGGAGAGGAGAAAAGGGAGUAUAAGAAUCUGCCUCGCACACCACACUCAGCUAGCGGCUUUACAGGUAGCUGCUAAUCUUCACACCCUCAUGGGUUUCACAUACUUGAGAGGGAGAAAUUCAGCAGUUAAACAGCUCCUACUGUUUAGAGCCAGCCUGAGUCACCCUUUGGAUGGAGACUCAUAGAAGGCAGUGUUACAAGUGAGCAGGCACUUGUCAACAGCAUCAAGGUAACUCAUUUCCCUCCUGCUGACUUCCACUCAUGGGGAGCUCCAGCUGCUCCCAAGGCCCCCAGCAAGUGGAGAGAGAUGGGCUGACACGGGAUGAUCCACUGAGCCCCAUGGGCAGAAUAGUGGAUUUGGAGGAAAGCUCAGGGCCCAUCAGUGUGCAGUUUGGUUUUUUUUUUCAGGCUGUGACUGAAAUAGAAUAGAGUGUUUAUGACUUGUCAGGAGUAACAAGUCAGUAAAACUUGGAGAAAAACAAAGAUGCUGAGAUCUCACUUGGUGCUGAGAGAGUACUAAUCCUAAUGGCUUUUACAAUUACAGACUCAAACGCUCUGUAAGACAGAUCUAGCUCCAUGCAAAGGGAAUUCUAGCAUUUUAAAGGACUGCUCCUGCUAAUUCUUAGAACCCCAAAGCUGUGCCUGGAAAACCAGUUCAUUGAAAACAAAGCUGCCGUGUUACUGGAGGCCGUCUGGGAAGGGAGUGCCACAGGUCCUUCAGUCCAUUUGAAGCUUGGACAUCUCUGAAAUUGAAAUUUACUUGGAAUAGUGAGCAGGAUUCUGAAGAAGCCCGCGCAGGAUCACCCUGUGGACCCAAACCUGGUGCUAGGUACCACAUGGGCCCCUUGUGCCCCACCAGCCCCUGCUUUGCAUGGGGUGAACUUGGGUAUGGAGGUAGAGUGAAAAACAUUCCUGUGUACUGAUGAUUGAUGUUGGGUGACAUAUGUAUUAAAUUCAUUAUGCUACCAUCUCUACUAUUGUUAUGUUGGAACACUUCCAUAAUGAAAAGAGAAGAUCCAUGGAAGCCAGCUGGCAUGCAGGUAUGGAGCUGGGAGCGGAAACAAGUGUGGGAGACAAAGUUUUGGACGUCAGCAUUCAGGUGAUAGGAAAGCCACGGAAAUGGACAGUGUUAACCGGCGUAGCAUAAAGCAAGAGGAUCAAGGACAGAACUCUGAGGAACAGCAACAUGUAAGGGAUAGGAAGCAGAUCUGGCAAAGGAACCUGAAGAGUUAAAACCAGAAGAGAGUGGUGUCAGUUUCAAUUAAGGUGAGUGGAAUGUAGCUGGCCUCCAACCUCAGCAAAACCAGUUUCAUUGCAAUGAUGGCCCGGGACACCAGAUUAUAGCCAGUGUGAAAGGGCAGUGGGGAAGCCAGGAUGGUGGCUCUGAAGAGAACAAAACUACUAUAGCUAGAAGGCUACAUAUGGUCAAGGGCGGGGGGUGGGGUGGGAGGUAGAUAAGAUUAAUUACCGCAGGGACAGGUGAAUGGAGAGAAGUUGAGAAACAAGGGGAGAGAAGGGAUAACAGCAGGAACAAGGACUCUCAGAACACAGGAAGGUAAGGGAUCCAGAGCACAGGGAGAUGAUGUGGCUAAGCGAUGCUUGUGCAAUAUCUAUUCUUCCCUUCUGCAGAGACAGGAGUUUCACUUGGGAGCAUGACUUUUUAGAAGAGAGACUAAAUUCACCACCACAUUCUUUUUUAAAAAAAUAUAUUAUUUAUUUCAGAGAGGAAGGGAGAGGGAGAGAGAUAGAAACAUCAAUGAUGAGAGAGAAUCAUUGAUUGGCUGCCUCCUGCUCACCCCCAACUGGGGAUCGAGCCCGCAACCCAGGCACGAUUCAGUAUGAACCUGAAGAGUGUUCAUAAUGACCGGAAUCAAACCUACGACCCUUCAGUCCACAGGCCAACACUCUAUCCACUGAGCCACGCCGGCUAGGGCUCACCACCACCUUCUGUAACUGGGUGUGGCCAUGUGACCCAUUGGGGUCAACAGGAUAAGCAGAAGUGUCCUGCAGCAACUUCUUGGGAACAUUCCUAAGGGAAAGCACAAGUUCUCCCUUUGCUUGCUUCUUUGUUCAUUCUUCCAUCCUGCUGCCAGAACUGAGGCCAUAGGCAUCUUGGACCAUUAGAUCCAGGCCCGCUGCUAACGCAGCACGGUAAGAAUCGAGGUCUGAACUUCCAGGAACGGAGCUGCUAAACCAGCUCCAGACUUCUCUCUAAACUCUGUUCACUGGAGAGUGAAAUGAACUAUUUUUCUUAAACUUCUAUUUUGGGCUCUGAUUAUCAUGUGCAAUUGCAACUACCACAUUGUCAUGUCCCUAUGAGAAGAAGCUACAACCUCAGGUGACCUUCCUUGUCCUUCAUACAUUUCUAUUCUAAUUUACUUUUAAGUGUUCCUUUUUAUAUGUAUUUUAAGUUGUGGUAAAAUACACAUAAAAUAACCACCUUACACUAUUUUUAAGCGGUAUUAAGCACAUUCAUCAUUGUUCUGUGAGUAUAACACCAUCUAUUUCCAGAACUCUUUUCAUCUUGCAAAACUGAAAUUUUGUACCCAUUAAACAAUAUUUCUCCA
This is an RNA transcript of Myotis myotis, 5004 nucleotides long. It is a transcript of the gene named vesicle transport through interaction with t-SNAREs 1B, with no coding region annotated. The transcript is spliced from 11 exons. NCBI's taxonomy places the organism in Eukaryota, Metazoa, Chordata, Mammalia, Chiroptera, Vespertilionidae. The record is from RefSeq and is a predicted model, not a curated record.